UUACAGCCACAUCAGGUUGAAACACCGGUUUCCAUAUGAUUACUGAAGUUAAGCAACAUCGAGCCUGGUCAGUACAUAGAUGGGUGACUGCUUGGGAAUACCAGGUGCUGUCA
RNAcentral lists this ribosomal RNA (113 nucleotides) under Acanthosepion pharaonis. Lineage: Eukaryota; Metazoa; Mollusca; Cephalopoda; Sepiida; Sepiidae. The record is from RNAcentral.